UUUGUAGAGAAGCUCAUCAGUGGGGCUAGGAGCUGAGUGCACUUAGUCACUCUGUCCCAUGUCCCUUGGGAAGGUCUGGGACUAGGGCCAUAGCACGGCCCUAAAAGGGCCUUCCCUGAGCUUUGGGGAGGUGAGUUCCCAGAGAACGGGGCUCCACGCACACAAGGGCAGACUGGGCAGGAGGUGCUAUGGACCCCGCCUUUGCAGAGGGUCCUGGCGGAUGCCUCCUUAGCCAGAAUUUGGAACAGACUCACUGCCAGCGAAGUGAGUUCAAUGGCUGAGGUGAGGUACCCUGCGUGGGGGCCUCAUAACCCAAUUCAGACUACUCCCGCCCAUA
Molecule: ribozyme, 337 nt
Organism: Bison bison bison
Lineage: Eukaryota; Metazoa; Chordata; Mammalia; Artiodactyla; Bovidae
Rfam family: Nuclear RNase P
About the family: Ribonuclease P (RNase P) is a ubiquitous endoribonuclease, found in archaea, bacteria and eukarya as well as chloroplasts and mitochondria. Its best characterised activity is the generation of mature 5'-ends of tRNAs by cleaving the 5'-leader elements of precursor-tRNAs.
Source: Ensembl